This 1088-nucleotide long non-coding RNA is filed under the name Nicotiana tabacum (common tobacco). RNAcentral's name for it is "long non-coding RNA (NTAB_LNC004267)". The record is from RNAcentral. Lineage: Eukaryota; Viridiplantae; Streptophyta; Magnoliopsida; Solanales; Solanaceae.
GGCCAAAAUCCUAAACAAAAAAUCAGGCCCAAACCAUUUUAACCCCCACAGCCCAAUCCAAACAGCCCAGGCACCGGUCCAAUUCAAACGAGUCAAAAAGACAUCGUUUGAUUGCGGUUUAUCAGGGAUCGUUGGAUCAAAGCUAACCAACGGCUGAGAUCCCACGAACUUUAACCCAUGUCCAUUACCCGACCCAGUGCCCCGAUUCAGCCCGACCCCAGCAGGAAACCAAACGACACCGUUUUGCUAAGUGAACUAAUCCUGGCCAUCUAUUCUCAUUGAUCCAACGGUCAAGAUUAAUCCACCCCACCCCUAUAUAAGUCCCAAGCCCCUACCCCGGCCUCGAACUGAACACCCCCCUCCUCUCACUGUUCAUCAUCGUCCCCAAACCCCACUCCUAACCCUAGCCGCCCUAGAAUCCCACCGCCUGAAACCCGGCGGCAUCAACGCCGCCGGUCACCAAAAUAACACCCUAGAACCCCCUGAACAUCCUCUACACAAAUCUGACCUUAGUUUCCUUCGAAUCAAACCCCAACUCUUCGAAUAUUAAAUCGAAGGUUGAUCUGAAAACUCAACCCUUUCCAAUGAUCUCCAAAAUAACACCACAGCUUCCCCUAGAUACCCUAGCUAUGGAUCUAGUGUUGGUUUGGUUCGAAUCCUUUCAGAACUCUUCGAAUCUUCUUUUGAGGGUUCGAAUCAAAAAUGAACUCACUCAGAUUCCUUUCAAAUUAACACCAAAUGACCCCUAGGCUUCCCUCACCCUUGUGUCAUCUUUGGUUCCCUUCAAAUCUACCCGGAAAUGUUCGAAUUUAAAAUCCAAGAUCUGAAACCCUAAAUUUUCCAAUCUUGGAAAUUUUUUCAAUUCAAACGAAGGAUUGAGGUUUAAUCGACCUUAGUCGAAGUAUUUUCAGUUGAAAAUACUUCGACUAAGGUCUGUUUGAUUUCAAAAAAGUCCAAAUCCAAGUUGAGUUUGAGUCCGGUUAAAUUUAAAGAUUCAGAGGUAUGUUUUUUCUAUUUUUCUUUUUGUAUUCUAUAUGUUUGUUUCAGUAACCUGUGUAAUGUUGCAUAUUUUUGUUUAAUUCCGUGAU